UGGGGAAUAUUGCGCAAUGGGGGGAACCCUGACGCAGCCAUGCCGCGUGAAUGAAGAAGGCCUUCGGGUUGUAAAGUUCUUUCGGUAUUAAGGAAGGUUGAUGUGUUAAUAGUACAUCAAAUUGACGUUAAAUACAGAAGAAGCACCGGCUAACUCCGUGCCAGCAGCCGCGGUAAUACGGAGGGUGCGAGCGUUAAUCGGAAUAACUGGGCGUAAAGGGCACGCAGGCGGUUAUUUAAGUGAGGUGUGAAAGCCCCGGGCUUAACCUGGGAAUAGCAUUUCAGACUGGGUAACUAGAGUACUUUAGGGAGGGGUAGAAUUCCACGUGUAGCGGUGAAAUGCGUAGAGAUGUGGAGGAAUACCGAAGGCGAAGGCAGCCCCUUGGGAAUGUACUGACGCUCAUGUGCGAAAGCGUGGGGAGCAAACAGGAUUAGAUACCCUGGUAGUCCACGCUGUAAACGCUGUCGAUUUGGGGGUUGGGGUUUAACUCUGGCGCCCGUAGCUAACGUGAUAAAUCGACCGCCUGGGGAGUACGGCCGCAAGGUUA
Molecule: ribosomal RNA, 547 nt
Filed under: uncultured bacterium
Lineage: Bacteria
Description: bacterial SSU rRNA
Rfam family: Bacterial small subunit ribosomal RNA
Source: RNAcentral